RNAcentral lists this long non-coding RNA (1250 nucleotides) under Homo sapiens (human). RNAcentral describes it as "PREDICTED lncRNA (TCONS_00076962)". The record is from RNAcentral. Lineage: Eukaryota; Metazoa; Chordata; Mammalia; Primates; Hominidae.
GGGCUCUACACUGCCUGCCCCCAGGCCUGGACAUGGAGAGCAGAGCCAUGGUAGUGACAGCAUGUGGAUAACACAGAAGACAACGUCAGGGACAGGAAAUCACAGCUCGGCCCUCAGGUCCCCAGGGGUGUGAACUCCACGCUGCAAAGACUAAGAACAGGAUUGAAACCGGCGGCACCGCUUACUUCCUGAAGUUCCCUUUUCUUCUGGUGGUUUCUGUGUCACAGGGGCCUCCCGCAAGUCCCGAUGCUGACGCCUCUCUGCCCACCUAGUUUGUGGCCGCCGCCUCCAGCUCUGUGUCUGCCUCCCAGCGAGGGAGCCGUGGUUGAUGAUCUCGUGAGUGUCUGCCCUUCUGAAGGUACAGUGUGAAGUCUCAUCAGUCUCACUUCAAUGCCUAAGCACCUCUUCAGAAACCAGGGAUUCAUCCAGGUUUCUCCAUCUUUAACCAUGUUUUCUAAAAGUUUUCUUGGCAAUUUCCUGGCAAUUUGCAAGACAGGAUUUUUUGGUUGCCAACUUCCAAUUAGCUUUAAACUUGCCACGAUCUCCCAGGUCAUCCCGUCCAUCGAUGAUGCUUAUUACAUUCUUCCUGAUUUCCAUGUGGCCAAAUUCAAUAGUUAUUUACCCCAGGCUUGUAUUUUGGAGGCUAAAGAACUCUGUUACCAGCUAUAUCCGUGCUGUGGCUGCCGUAACAAAAUAUCACAAAUGUGGCUUAAAACAACAAAAAUUUUUUCAGAGUUCUGGGAGUCAGGAAUCUGAGAUCAAGGUGUUGGUGGCUGUCUCUGAGUGCUCCAGGGGAGGACCGUCCACCUCUUCCAGCUUCCUGUGGUGCAAUAGUUUGGAUGUGUGUCUCUCCAAAUUUCAUGUUGAGAUGUGAUUCCCAGUGUUGGAGGUGGGCCUGGUGGGAGGUGAUUAGAUCAUGGGGCUGGACCCCUCAUGAAUGGCCUAGCACCAUCUCCCAGGUGAUGAGUGAGUUCUCCCUCAGUUAGUCCCUGUGACAGCUGGUUGUUUAAAAGUCUAGGACGUGCCACUUCUCUUCUCUUGCUCCCUCUUGCCAUGUGACAUGCCUGCUCCCCCUUCGCCUUCUGCCGUGAUUGCAAUCUCCCUGAGGCCUCGCCAGAAGCAGAUGCCAGGGCCGUGUUUCCGGAAUGGCUGCAGAACUUAACACAAAUAGACUAACUCAGAACAUUGGUAUUGAGGAGUGGAACAUUGCUAUAAGGAUACCUGAAAAUGUGGAAGCAGCUUUGGAAUCA